Molecule: ribosomal RNA, 257 nt
Filed under: uncultured bacterium
Lineage: Bacteria
Description: partial 16S ribosomal RNA
Rfam family: Bacterial small subunit ribosomal RNA
Source: RNAcentral
GCCUACGGGGCGCAGCAGUGAGGAAUAUUGGUCAAUGGGCGAGAGCCUGAACCAGCCAAGUCGCGUGAGGGAGUACUGCCCUAUGGGUUGUAAACCUCUUUUGUCGGGGAGCAAAAGCCGGACGUGUCCGGCUGUGAGAGUACCCGAAGAAAAAGCACCGGCUAACUCCGUGCCAGCAGCCGCGGUAAUACGGAGGAUGCGAGCGUUAUCCGGAUUUAUUGGGUUUAAAGGGUGCGCAGGCGGAGGCGAAGGUCAGC